RNAcentral lists this ribosomal RNA (423 nucleotides) under uncultured cyanobacterium. Its description in RNAcentral is "bacterial SSU rRNA". It matches the Rfam family "Bacterial small subunit ribosomal RNA", at positions 357 to 795 of the family's 1533-position model. The record is from RNAcentral. Lineage: Bacteria; Bacillati; Cyanobacteriota.
GGGAAUUUUCCGCAAUGGGCGAAAGCCUGACGGAGCAACGCCGCGUGAGGGAUGAAGGCCUCUGGGCUGUAAACCUCUUUUCUCAAGGAAGAAGACCUGACGGUACUUGAGGAAUAAGCCACGGCUAAUUCCGUGCCAGCAGCCGCGGUAAUACGGGAGUGGCAAGCGUUAUCCGGAAUUAUUGGGCGUAAAGCGUCCGCAGGCGGCCUUGAAAGUCUGUCGUUAAAGCGUGGAGCUUAACUCCAUUUCAGCGAUGGAAACUACAAGGCUUGAGUGUGGUAGGGGCAGAGGGAAUUCCCGGUGUAGCGGUGAAAUGCGUAGAUAUCGGGAAGAACACCAGUGGCGAAGGCGCUCUGCUGGGCCAUAACUGACGCUCAUGGACGAAAGCCAGGGGAGCGAAAGGGAUUAGAUACCCCUGUAGUC